CAGCCGUUUGGGCAUUUUAACACCGCUUGUGUCAUUUUGUGGGGCUUUGCGUACACUGGAGAGUCUAUUGUAAACAACCGUUACGUGCGGUCUGGCUCGUUACACUGCCUAGUCCCAGCAUUCCCGUGUGUUUACCGUUUGAGUGGGGACAUCCAAUAUAUGCUGUUUGGCAUCUACUUCAUUUCUAUCCCGUGGAUACUGACGUCAGCUCUGCUUUCUGGUGUGGCAAACGGCUGCGUUAUUUGGAGCUGUGUGUCCGACGGCAGUGAGGCUUUCCUUCACCGUGUGCUGUGUUAUGCUGUGUGAGCACCACUGAUAAAAUCACGGGAACAAGACAGCAGCGUAGACUCUUUGAAGGGUCUCUUUGGCUACCUCCCCUGAUUGUGUUUCAGGUCCAAAUUUUCUUUCUGCCCCGCCUUGCUUGGUGGAGCUGUGUGUCCGACGGCAGUGAGGCUUUCCUUCACCGUGUGCUGUGUUAUGCUGUGUGAGCACCACUGAUAAAAUCACGGGUAUUGGAGUGAGUGUGUGUGUGUGUGUGUGCACUUAGUGUGAUUCUCCUCUUUUGCUCCCUCUCUUAGCCCAUUUGAUGCCAAUAGGCUACAGCUCCGAAGUAAAUGUGAAUCCUUAUUGUGGAUUGUGAUUUCCAGCUUAGUAAUUGGCUGGGUGACUAUUAUUCCUGCAUUUUAAACUUUUGUACUAAUAAACAAACUCUAUUUUGCUACCCACGUCUCUUGCUCAUUUUAUUCAGUGGAAUGAACCUGGGUUCCUUAUAACAUUUUAAGUGAACUGUGAU
Molecule: long non-coding RNA, 793 nt
Organism: Cyprinus carpio carpio
Lineage: Eukaryota; Metazoa; Chordata; Actinopteri; Cypriniformes; Cyprinidae
Source: Ensembl